GCCGGGGUGGCGGAAGGGCAGACGCGGAAGACUUAAAAUCUUCUAUCGGAAACGGUGUGCGGGUUCGAAUCCCGCCCCCGGCA
RNAcentral lists this transfer RNA (83 nucleotides) under Myxococcales bacterium. RNAcentral describes it as "tRNA-Leu". It matches the Rfam family "tRNA". From Rfam's summary of the family: Transfer RNA (tRNA) molecules are approximately 80 nucleotides in length. Their secondary structure includes four short double-helical elements and three loops (D, anti-codon, and T loops). Further hydrogen bonds mediate the characteristic L-shaped molecular structure. tRNAs have two regions of fundamental functional importance: the anti-codon, which is responsible for specific mRNA codon recognition, and the 3' end, to which the tRNAs corresponding amino acid is attached (by aminoacyl-tRNA synthetases). tRNAs cope with the degeneracy of the genetic code in two manners: having more than one tRNA (with a specific anti-codon) for a particular amino acid; and 'wobble' base-pairing, i.e. permitting non-standard base-pairing at the 3rd anti-codon position. Lineage: Bacteria; Pseudomonadati; Myxococcota; Myxococcia; Myxococcales. The record is from RNAcentral.